GGAGCUGGCACCUAACCUGUAAGAUGUAAUUAGCCAGCAGAGUUCUUCAGCUUGCUAGGGGACCCAGGUACUUUUGUUGUAGUAAUUAGAAAUCUGGUGUCCUGGAAGAUCGCCUUUCUUCUUGCUAAUGUUAGCAGCCAGCUCCCAGCAUUCUUGGAAAGGCUGAUGAAAUGCUCAUUUUAAAUGCAAAUUCUUUGCACGGUUAGGAGGAAAAUGAAAUUGUUCUGGCUCCCAGCAGCACUCACUCUGCAUUUUUGCCAUUCCUUCUGAUGGCCGAGGGGAGGGCUCAUGACUAAACCCUUCAGCAUCUUUAUUAUGAUUUCGGAUUUGAACUUGCUGAGAGGAAGCCUUGGCCCCAGGAUGUUAACUCUCUGCUGCCAAGUGACAGCAUGUGGGUGCCUGCGUGAAGGCUCUGAGAGUUUUCACUAGUCCUCCGUACACCAGCAAAUGCUCUCCGGAUUCUACGGAUGAUGGAUGUCCCAAGGAACUUAUGGUUCCCCCCUUCCCCCUUUUGUCCUUUAUGGAAUUCUGAUCAGAGACUGAGACUCCUUGCGUUGCAGAAUCUCCAAAGUCCCUUCUUCUUCUAAAAUUUGUGGUUGGAACAGAAAAGACACGUUUGGGGUAUAAUCUUGGCUAAGGCCAGUCCCUGGCAGAGGAGCACAGAACUCCUAGAGACAAAGCCAUUGUUCUGACAAUGACUGUGGCUACCCUUCGCCAGCAGCCACGUUGUGCAAGGUGACAUUUUGUAUGAUGUAAG
RNAcentral lists this long non-coding RNA (757 nucleotides) under Heterocephalus glaber (naked mole-rat). RNAcentral's name for it is "lncRNA (ENSHGLG00100042973.1)". The record is from RNAcentral. Lineage: Eukaryota; Metazoa; Chordata; Mammalia; Rodentia; Bathyergidae.